GAGCCGGGGGAGCAGGUCCACGAUCCGCUCCGGGUCGGGACCGGUGGCGCGCAGCACGUUCACGGCGACGUGCGGUUCGAUGCCGCCCAGCGCC
RNAcentral lists this transfer RNA (94 nucleotides) under Virgisporangium aliadipatigenens. Its description in RNAcentral is "tRNA-Pro". Lineage: Bacteria; Bacillati; Actinomycetota; Actinomycetes; Micromonosporales; Micromonosporaceae. The record is from RNAcentral.